AUGUUUCAGUCAGAUACUCCAGGAAAAACAAAAUCCUUUAAUCAACAAAAUCCAUUAUACUACUUGAGAGAGGCUCACCAAGGAGAAGAGGUCAUUUUGUAAUCCAAGUCGAUCCACAGGGGGCAGAGAAAGGUCACGAAUGCCGGGUAAUAAACUUUCCAGCAUGGCUGAGCUGUACUGGGUCCGAUAAAACCCAACUGUUCCCAGGUUUAACUGAAAAGAUACCCAAUGGACAUUAUUAAUUAAACAGUUCCAUUUGUUUUGU
This 265-nucleotide long non-coding RNA is filed under the name Lynx pardinus (Iberian lynx). Lineage: Eukaryota; Metazoa; Chordata; Mammalia; Carnivora; Felidae. The record is from RNAcentral.